CAGCAGCCACGGUAAUACGAAGGGGGCUAGCGUUGCUCGGAAUUACUGGGCGUAAAGGGGGCGUAGGCGGAUCGUUUAGUCAGGGGUGAAAUCCCGGGGCUCAACCUCGGAACUGCCUUUGAUACUGGCGAUCUUGAGUACGGGAGAGGUGUGUGGAACUCCGAGUGUAGAGGUGAAAUACGUAGAUAUUCGGAAGAACACCAGUGGCGAAGGCGACACACUGGCCCAUUACUGACGCUGAGGCUCGAAAGCGUGGGGAGCAAACAGGAUUAGAUACCCGAGUAGUCCCUGUCUCUUAUAC
This 301-nucleotide ribosomal RNA is filed under the name uncultured bacterium. RNAcentral describes it as "partial 16S ribosomal RNA". It matches the Rfam family "Bacterial small subunit ribosomal RNA", at positions 509 to 807 of the family's 1533-position model. The record is from RNAcentral.